Molecule: small nuclear RNA, 107 nt
Organism: Vulpes vulpes (red fox)
Lineage: Eukaryota; Metazoa; Chordata; Mammalia; Carnivora; Canidae
Source: Ensembl
GUGCUCGCCUUGGCAGCACACAUACUAAAAUUGGAACAAUAUAGAGAAGACUGGCAUGGCUCCUGCGCAAGGAUGACAUGCAAAUUUAUGAAGCAUUCCAUAUUAUU